RNAcentral lists this ribosomal RNA (450 nucleotides) under uncultured bacterium. RNAcentral describes it as "partial 16S ribosomal RNA". It matches the Rfam family "Bacterial small subunit ribosomal RNA", at positions 329 to 793 of the family's 1533-position model. The record is from RNAcentral.
ACCCAGACUCCUACGGGAGGCAGCAGUGGGGGAUAUUGCACAAUGGGGGGAACCCUGAUGCAGCGACGCCGCGUGGGUGAAGGAGCGUUUCGGCGCGUAAAGCCCUAUCGGCAGGGAAGAAGGAGGACGGUACCUGACUAAGAAGCCCCGGCUAACUACGUGCCAGCAGCCGCGGUAAUACGUAGGGGGCAAGCGUUAUCCGGAUUUACUGGGUGUAAAGGGGGCGCAGACGGCGAUGCAAGCCAGGAGUGAAAGCCCGGGGCCCAACCCCGGGACUGCUCUUGGAACUGCGUGGCUGGAGUGCAGGAGGGGCAGGCGGAAUUCCUGGUGUAGCGGUGAAAUGCGUAGAUAUCAGGAGGAACACCGGUGGCGAAGGCGGCCUGCUGGACUGAAACUGACGCUGAGGCACGAAAGCGUGGGGAGCGAACAGGAUUAGAUACCCUCGUAGAG